Chiloscyllium plagiosum (whitespotted bambooshark) is the source of this 5807-nucleotide non-coding RNA. The record is from RefSeq and is a predicted model, not a curated record. Lineage: Eukaryota; Metazoa; Chordata; Chondrichthyes; Orectolobiformes; Hemiscylliidae.
UAUGCUGAAGACAGGUGCUGAGGGGGAGGGUGUAAAUGAUAACUGGAGAUAGAGCCCAGAGAGAACAACAAUUCGGCAAAGAGAUGGAUAAUGGUGAGCUGGGGAGAAAGAAAAGCUGGUAAUAGGGACUUUUGAUGGGUGAAAUUGGGUUGGCGGUGACAAGAACAACCCAUGUGAUGACAAGACUAAGGGUGUGAAGAUGGGUAAAGUACAUGGAAGGAGGGGUUCAAACUCUAAAAUUAUUGAACUCAAUAUUAAGUCCUGAAGGCAACAGGUUCCCAAGUGGAAAAUGAAAUGCUGAGUGGCAUAUGUGUUGAAGACCUAUGCGAAUAGUCCAGUUCAGUUUCUAGUAAUUGACAACUCCUCGGAUAUUGAUGCAGGGGGAUUCAGUGAUAGGUAUGCCAUUGGAUAUCAAGGGGUGAUGGUUAGAUUCUUUUUUGUUGGAAAUGGUCAUUGUCUGGUACUUGAGCAGCACACGGAUGUUAUUUGCCACUUGUCAGCCUGAACAUUAUCUCAAUCUUGCUGCAUUGGGCAUGGACUACAUCAGUAGCUAAGGAACCCUGAACAUUGUGUAGGCAUCAGCAAGCAUCCCCACUUCUGACCUUAUGAUGGAGCUAAUUCCAAUAGAUGUGAACAGAGAGCAGUGAUCGCUCAUUGACAGUAAAAUUGUUGUUGGUCAAAAGCUUCUGUGUGUUCCCAGCGCUUAUUUCUGUUUUUUUUUUACCUUUGCUUUUGCUGUUGCUGAAUAAAACAGAAUGAUUUGAACCACUUUAAAGCUUUCCUGUAUGUUAUGCUCCGACAUUGAAUAAUGAGAAGCUAUUGAACACUGGGGAAGCAGUAGCACUCCCUUUGACAGGAUUCUAAGAUAAGAUGAGGUUAAGUUUGGGUAAGCUAUGUUGCUCAUAUCUUAAAUACUAAUAGAUGUCUGAAUGUGAACUUGUCAGUGUAAUGAUGUUUUAGCCAUGUCACCUAUGUGUCCUGAGAAACAUUUGUUUUUGGUUGCCUCCCACUGUCUAUCUGUGAAGGGCAGCUCUGGAGGGACAAUGCUCGGCUACGUGCAUGACCAAGCUUUAAAGAUGGUAUGAAGCCAGGAAUCCUUGGAUAUCCCAGCAAUUGAUUGCACCCACAACACAGCAGAAAGAGUCAAGAUGGGUGGUCUGCUUCUCAUUCUUCAACUCCUCACCCCAUUUGAGAAAAGGAUCCUGAUACUGACUACCUGAAGCAGGGCCUGGAUUGAUGUUCGAAGCUGCCUUUAACUUACUGUGUGGAAUACACUGAGCGAAGCCUAUUUUUGUUUCUUAUAUGCAAAGUACUCUUACACACAAGUGACCACUUUUUUUUCCAUUACCAAAUCCCUAAGUGAAAUCUAUCCCCUUGAUUUAACUGAGAUUGACUGAUAACUGUGAUAAGAUUCCUAGCUUUCUGUCUGUGCUAAACGGCACAGCAAAGCAGCAGUAAUGAGAGUUUGGUAUCUGUGGCUGAGGGGUCGAUGUACAAAAAAAAGCAAUGCAAGGCACGGAUGCCUUGAGAAUUGAUAUAGGCUCAGAAUGGGUAGGUUCUAAGAAGGCCCAGUCCAGUCCAUGAGCUGGAAAGUAUCCCUGAGCACAAAGUGUCCUUGCUGUAGCAUUACAACGAUAGUUGCUAAUGCAGCUCAAGGUGUGUCAUUGAAUAUUCUGCUAGUGGAUCGAAGAUGUAAAAUCAGUGCUCUUAGAGGCUGUCACAUCAGAUGCCAAUGAUUGUGCUCAUGGAGUGUGUGUGGUCAAUGUGCAUGGAAUGUGUCCUCAGAUGUUGGUGCUCUGUGUCCAACAUGGAGGUUAUUUGGAGCCAGCGGUGAGCCAAGUCUGACAGGUACUCACUGGUUCCCUUGUGAAGCUUUUCCAAUGUUGAGCUUAUUUGGCAAGUUUGGGAGGAUGGGAGGUUGAAAAUUAAUGGGGUGAGUUGAGCUUUGUAAAACAAUAAUCAAUGUCAAUUGGCAAAGCUCCACUGCCUAGUCAGAAUCUCAUCUUGCUGUUUGUGAAAAGCAAAAAAGAUGGCACAAGUCGGUCCUGAAGUUCAGAUGGGCCUCACUGCACUUUGUCACUCGUUUCUGUCAAGCAUCUUGCCAAAGUCUAUGUUGUUCAGACCCCAUUAGAGCCUGUCCAUGAAUUAACUCUGAAUUAUUGAAGUUUGUUCAAGUUUAGCCCAACCAACUUUUGGAAAAGAAGACUCUUUAAGUGUACAAAAAUAUGACUUUUUUAAAACUUUAUGUACCUUACAUCCAAAAUCCAGUUAUGCAAUUUAAAUGGAAUGGCACAAUAACUUAUAAAAGUUUAUUAGAACAGCAAACAUUAGCAAUUUCAUCAUUAUCCACAACAGUAAGCAACAUAAUCAGCUUGCUGUACGGUCAUGGGCUCCAUAUUACAAUAUACUACAAAUCUAACAAGCUUGAUGAGCACUAUAUUGGCCACCAAUAUCAUCACUGUGAAAAGUGGGAAAUUUGUGGUCCAGCCACUUCAAACUGCUGAAUUAGACUGACGUUGCUCAGCAAAAGUAUCAAUGAACUUUAGUGAUGAUCUUAAAUGAAUCAAAAUAAAUGUAAUUAGCAAAUAAAUUAAGUCAAAAUUUCAGAAUUUGGCAAAGUUGAACAAAUAUAACAUUCAAAAUUAUAUUGAACACUAAAGUUUCACAUAUUUUCAGUUUCUUUUAGUUAGCACAGUUUUAAUGAAGUGAUGCUAUGACCUCAUGUAUUGAUUUUAAAUUCCUGCCCUCCUACAAAUAGCUCAAGAUUGGCACGUCAAGGAUUUUAGCAACUAAACUCAUCACCAUUUUGUCUAUAAAGUCUUUUAAGACAGAUAAAAAUUAACUACUUAAAAUUGUAUCAUGCAGCAUGCAUAUGUCAUCAACACUUUGAUACAAGACUGAUUAUAAUCAAAGUUAAGGUUCUGAAGGUUAAACACAGUGUUGCAUUGUCCUUUUAAAUUGAUACCUAGUUGUUUGAAUUACCAACAAGUCGACCUGCACCUUUAAAGACUCACUUACUAACACUGUAUCGGUAAUGAUUUGGAAUUUCCUGAGCAGAUGAGUUGAGUAUUUCUUUUAAAAGAAGAUGCAAUGCAAAUCAGCCACUAUUAUUCAUACAAAGUUAUAAAGGAAAUUUAGGCUUGUAAUUAACCAGGAGAGUGAGCAUGAAUGAAGCUUGGUAUCAUUUGAACCCUGAGAUUAGAAUAUUUGAAAAAGGCAUUGUCAAAGCAAAAUGGUGUAGGACAUAUAACGUUUUCAUUGUCAGAUGUCUUCUCAAUGACAAUAAGAAACUGAUUAAGUUUAAAGUCUGAAAACAACAUUGUAAACUUUGUACUAUAGCAGAUAGUGUACACUUCUACUACAUUGCUGUUAGUGGCCAAUCUUAUAGAGUAUGCCAUAAAAUAGUAAUAUGAAAAAAUGCUGUUUCGGAAACUAGGCCUUUCUGAAAGUUUCUCAUCAAACCGCCAUCAUUUUCACAGUCUAUCUUUAUUACAGCACUUAUUCACCCUGUGAGCAGUGUGAUGACAGGCUGUAAGUCACAAUGAAUCAUAGCUAGAUUAGUUACAUUGGUGUGGAUCCUCACAAAAGCUAUAGCUUAGAUGGACAAAUGAGGGAUCUGUCCCUUAUGUCUGGUGCCUUUGAAAUAUUGGACAGAAUCAUAUUCUUUUGAUAAGUACAAGCCACAUUGCAUUUGAUGGAGCAAGACUAGCCAUGAGACCUAGUGAGUUUUCUUGCUGUACCUUUACCAAACUCACCACGUUAAUUUCUGACCCAAUGGCAGGUAUUACCUUAUAUCUCUGUCCCAUCCUAUCAUACCCCAUUCCCAGAAGAACGCACUACUCACUGAACAUCCAUCAUAAGACAAGCAUUCCUUAUGGCUGUGUUGUCUUUAAGUACCCACAGUGCAUCUGAAAUAGUAGUAGUAUUAAAAUACAGACAUUUGCUCGGUGGUCAGUGUGCUGCACCAAGCACUGCCUCUAACCAUUGGCUGUGGUGCCUUAUGCCUUUUUAUGUUACAGCUGCAACUAGAGUUGAGUACAGUAGCCAAGACCAUCAUCUCCCCUGGAGGAGAUCACCUUAUGGCUGGGGGAAGAAACUGUUCAGGUUGUGGAGGAAACAUUGGCAAGGCUGCCCACUGCUCACCUCUAACAACCACCCCCACCAUCAGCAGCAACAUCGCAUAGGUGAACAGAAUGUGGGUUGGGGAACUGCUAAAGACCUCACAGCUACAGUUGCACAGAUGGGUGAGGGAGAAACACCCCAGGCCACUGACAUUCAAGGAGUACUGACAACUAGGCACCUGCUCAUCCCAUGGCAGGAGGAGAUGCUGUGGUCCUGUCGAUGAGAAACUUCAUGGACAUGUUCAGAAAUAAUCAAAAUUGGGAAGCAUGUGUUCAGGAAGUUUUGGAGGUGCUAUUGCUCCUACGGAGAAAAAGGACUGACUGUGAUCAUUCACUGAAUCAUAAUUUGCAAAACCAACCCAGUCCAAUGCCUGUCUGUGGUGAUGAUUGGGACUGGUGUGGAAAGUUGCGAUUAACUAACUGUUGCUAACAUCCCUGACUGAUGGGUGCCCUUACAGAACUGAGUGCAGACCACUGUCCAAAAACCUUCGGGCAUGUGCCAGUGCUUGCUGCAGUUGCCCCGAGUUUGGUGUAAGUGCUGCUGCCACGUGGUAUAGAUAGUAGCCUGAUGUUGCUCACUGACAUUCGCGAUGUAGUAGAUGCCCUUUAAUGAGCACUGCUUACAGCAUGGUGACCUGUCUGGUUAUGUGUCAAGGCAUGGCAUCACAACACAUGGCAGGCUAAGGGCUCCAUGCUAUGGGCAUGUUUGCAGGCACCAGGUGAAUGUGCGCUGAGAGACUGUCAACCUGGCGUCUCUCCCUUAGUGGCUACUGUGUACUUCAGGUUGCCAGUCAUGCACUGCUUCACACGUGUUGGAUUGUAGGAUGCAAUGCAAGGGCACUUCAUUGAUGCCAGGAUAGUUCAAUGGCUCCCUGAAAGUUGGGUGCUACUGCCAUUGGUGAAAGGGUGCAAGUGGCUGCUGCUCGUGGGUUACGCCCUGUACUGCAGUUUGACUGUGGGUAACGUGAAAGUCAUUUGGAGUAUGUAGCAUGUUAAACACUCUAGGUACCCACUUGGAUUUCUCUGUUGAGUUUUCCUGGCAGCUAGUUUGUGUUGCUUAUUUGGUAAGAUUGCAACCUGUGGCAAGUUGACCUGUUAGCAAGCAAUAAAGAGCAUUAAUCAGGAACAAUCUUUCCAAAUUCUUGUGCGAGAAUCCCACCAUAUCAUCUGAGCAAAGCAGGGAAGUUGACUUAAGAUGAUAUUAAAAUUGAGACAACAAUCUCGCCUGUCUGCCACACAUCUCACGACAGCCCAUACCUUCAGUUGCUUAUUAAAUUCUAUCUGUUGUUUUAAUUUGGCAAAGGCAGUUUCUUAUUAGGUUGGUAAAUUAUUUGUACUUUGUUCUUUUUUCUCAAGGCCUAAUUAUUGUGACUAUUAGGAUUCAUACAAUGAAAGAAAGUAGUGUUUUAAGUGGUGCUUUUAAUUUUAUGAAUUGUCCCAAGGCACUUUAGAAAUAGUCAUAAUAAAUAUAGAUGUGCACUUAGGGAGAAAGUAAUUUGUAUGGGUAUUAAACUUUCUCAAAACUCAUUUACAUUUUUAAAAGGAUUGACCUAGGAAAGGGUUAAAAAAAAACCACAUUAUGCCUGUUAUUUCUGCUAUUGCUUGUACAGAUGGUUAGAGUUGGAAGAAUAGAUUAUUGAAGAUGGAAGAAAUUAGAGAUAGGAAGAAUAAGGCUAUGAAGGGCUU